UGGGAGGCAGCAGUGAGGAAUAUUGGACAAUGGGGGCAACCCUGAUCCAGCCAUGCCGCGUGAGUGAUGAAGGCCUUCGGGUUGUAAAGCUCUUUUGGCGGGGACGAUGAUGACGGUACCCGCAGAAUAAGCCCCGGCUAACUUCGUGCCAGCAGCCGCGGUAAGACGAAGGGGGCUAGCGUUGUUCGGAAUUACUGGGCGUAAAGCGCGUGUAGGCGGUUAUCCAAGUCGGGUGUGAAAGCCUUGAGCUCAACUCAAGAAUUGCACUCGAUACUGGGUGACUAGAGGACCGGAGAGGAUAGUGGAAUUCCCAGUGUAGUGGUGAAAUACGUAGAGAUUGGGAAGAACACCAGUGGCGAAGGCGGCUAUCUGGACGGUUUCUGACGCUAAGACGCGAAAGCGUGGGGAGCAAACAGGAUUAGAUACCCGUGUAGUC
This 436-nucleotide ribosomal RNA is filed under the name uncultured bacterium. RNAcentral describes it as "bacterial SSU rRNA". It matches the Rfam family "Bacterial small subunit ribosomal RNA", at positions 342 to 795 of the family's 1533-position model. The record is from RNAcentral.